GAUGAACGCUAGCGGCAGGCCUAAUACAUGCAAGUCGAACGAGAUUAAGAGGCUUGCUUCUUAUGAAAGUGGCGCACGGGUGCGUAACGCGUAUGCAACCUACCUUAAUCAGGGGGAUAGCCGAAGAAAUUCGGAUUAAGACCGCAUAAAAACACAGGAUAGCAUUAUCCAAUGUUCAAAUAUUUAUAGGAUUAAGAUGGGCAUGCGUGUCAUUAGCUAGUUGGCGGGGUAACGGCCCACCAAGGCGACGAUGACUAGGGGAUCUGAGAGGAUGACCCCCCACACUGGUACUGAGACACGGACCAGACUCCUACGGGAGGCAGCAGUAAGGAAUAUUGGUCAAUGGAGGGAACUCUGAACCAGCCAUGCCGCGUGCAGGAAGACAGCCCUCUGGGUCGUAAACUGCUUUUAUUCGGGAAUAAACCUUUCUACGUGUAGGAAGCUGAAUGUACCGAAGGAAUAAGGAUCGGCUAACUCCGUG
RNAcentral lists this ribosomal RNA (481 nucleotides) under uncultured bacterium. Its description in RNAcentral is "partial 16S ribosomal RNA". It matches the Rfam family "Bacterial small subunit ribosomal RNA", at positions 28 to 507 of the family's 1533-position model. The record is from RNAcentral.